ACUCUCUUAGUAUAACACAUAGUACAACUGACUUCCAAUCAGUUAGCCCAAGAAUUAAACCUGGGAGAGAGUA
RNAcentral lists this transfer RNA (73 nucleotides) under Rubrisciurus rubriventer (Sulawesi giant squirrel). RNAcentral describes it as "tRNA-Gly". It matches the Rfam family "tRNA". From Rfam's summary of the family: Transfer RNA (tRNA) molecules are approximately 80 nucleotides in length. Their secondary structure includes four short double-helical elements and three loops (D, anti-codon, and T loops). Further hydrogen bonds mediate the characteristic L-shaped molecular structure. tRNAs have two regions of fundamental functional importance: the anti-codon, which is responsible for specific mRNA codon recognition, and the 3' end, to which the tRNAs corresponding amino acid is attached (by aminoacyl-tRNA synthetases). tRNAs cope with the degeneracy of the genetic code in two manners: having more than one tRNA (with a specific anti-codon) for a particular amino acid; and 'wobble' base-pairing, i.e. permitting non-standard base-pairing at the 3rd anti-codon position. The record is from RNAcentral. Lineage: Eukaryota; Metazoa; Chordata; Mammalia; Rodentia; Sciuridae.